Molecule: ribosomal RNA, 445 nt
Filed under: uncultured bacterium
Lineage: Bacteria
Description: partial 16S ribosomal RNA
Rfam family: Bacterial small subunit ribosomal RNA
Source: RNAcentral
GUGAGGAAUAUUGGUCAAUGGGCGAGAGCCUGAACCAGCCAAGUCGCGUGAAGGAAGAAGGAUCUAUGGUUCGUAAACUUCUUUUGCAGGGGAAUAAAGUGCAGGACGUGUCCUGUUUUGUAUGUACCCUGAGAAUAAGGAUCGGCUAACUCCGUGCCAGCAGCCGCGGUAAUACGGAGGAUCCGAGCGUUAUCCGGAUUUAUUGGGUUUAAAGGGUGCGUAGGUGGUUUGAUAAGUCAGCGGUGAAAGUUUGCAACUUAACUGUAAAAAUGCCGUUGAAACUGUCGGACUUGAGUGUAAAUGAGGUAGGCGGAAUGCGUGGUGUAGCGGUGAAAUGCAUAGAUAUCACGCAGAACUCCGAUUGGGAAGGCAGCUUACUAAGCUACAACUGACACAGAAGCACGAAAGCGUGGGGAUCAAACAGGAUUAGAUACCCCUGUAGUCC